This 465-nucleotide ribosomal RNA is filed under the name uncultured bacterium. RNAcentral describes it as "partial 16S ribosomal RNA". It matches the Rfam family "Bacterial small subunit ribosomal RNA", at positions 28 to 507 of the family's 1533-position model. The record is from RNAcentral.
GACGAACGCUGGCGGCGUGCUUAACACAUGCAAGUCGAACGGAAAGGCCCCUUUGGGGGUACUCGAGUGGCGAACGGGUGAGUAACACGUGAGUAACCUGCCCUUGACUUCGGGAUAACUUCAGGAAACUAGGGCUAAUACCGGAUAGGAAUCCUUGCUGCAUGGUGGGGGUUGGAAAGCUUCGGCGGUUUUGGAUGGACUCACGGCUUAUCAGCUUGUUGGUGGGGUAGUGGCUUACCAAGGCUUUGACGGGUAGCCGGCCUGAGAGGGCGACCGGCCACAUUGGGACUGAGAUACGGCCCAGACUCCUACGGGAGGCAGCAGUGGGGAAUAUUGCACAAUGGGCGGAAGCCUGAUGCAGCAACGCCGCGGGCGGGAGGACGGCCUUCGGGUUGUAAACCGCUUUCAGCAGGGGCGAAGCUUGUGGUGACGGUACCUGCAGAAGAAGCACCGGCUAACUACGUG